GAUGAACGCUAGCGGCAGGCCUAACACAUGCAAGUCGAGGGCAGCACGUCUUCGGAUGGUGGCGACCGGCGCACGGGUGCGUAACGCGUAUGCAACCUACCUCUUACAGUGGGAUAGCCCAGAGAAAUUUGGAUUAAUACCGCAUAGUAUACAGAUUCAGCAUUGGGACUGUAUUAAACAUUUAUGGGUAAGAGAUGGGCAUGCGUUCUAUUAGUUAGUUGGAGUGGUAACGGCACCCCAAGACAGCGAUAGAUAGGGGCCCUGAGAGGGGGAGUCCCCCACACUGGUACUGAGACACGGACCAGACUCCUACGGGAGGCAGCAGUGAGGAAUAUUGGACAAUGGGCGAGAGCCUGAUCCAGCACUGCCGCGUGCAGGAAGACGGCCC
Molecule: ribosomal RNA, 388 nt
Filed under: uncultured bacterium
Lineage: Bacteria
Description: bacterial SSU rRNA
Rfam family: Bacterial small subunit ribosomal RNA
Source: RNAcentral